ACGCUCGACACCUAUGGGAGGCAGCAGUAGGGAAUCUUCCACAAUGGACGCAAGUCUGAUGGAGCAACGCCGCGUGAGUGAAGAAGGUUUUCGGAUCGUAAAGCUCUGUUGUUGGUGAAGAAGGAUAGAGGUAGUAACUGGCCUUUAUUUGACGGUAAUCAACCAGAAAGUCACGGCUAACUACGUGCCGGCAGCCGCGGUAAUCUGAGCGGGCUGGCAAGGC
This 223-nucleotide ribosomal RNA is filed under the name uncultured bacterium. Its description in RNAcentral is "partial 16S ribosomal RNA". It matches the Rfam family "Bacterial small subunit ribosomal RNA", at positions 328 to 539 of the family's 1533-position model. The record is from RNAcentral.